This 161-nucleotide non-coding RNA is filed under the name pig gut metagenome. Its description in RNAcentral is "Lysine riboswitch". It matches the Rfam family "Lysine riboswitch aptamer". Rfam says of the family: Riboswitches are metabolite binding domains within certain messenger RNAs that serve as precision sensors for their corresponding targets. Allosteric rearrangement of mRNA structure is mediated by ligand binding, and this results in modulation of gene expression. The record is from RNAcentral.
AGAGUAGAGGCGCGGUGUUGAUGAGUAACCUGCGGCGGGAGGGCUUCACAGGCCUGGGCUGCGGGGGAAAGGCACCACCGCCGAAGAGCGCCGAGGUGAAAGGCGGCUCUGGGCGGGCAGAGAAAAUCUGUUCGACUGUCGCAUAUGCGGAGAGCUACUGU